CAGCAGCCGCGGUAAUACAGAGGGUGCAAGCGUUAAUCGGAAUUACUGGGCGUAAAGCGCGCGUAGGUGGUUUGUUAAGUCGAAUGUGAAAUCCCCGGGCUCAACCUGGGAACUGCAUCCGAAACUGGCAAGCUAGAGUAUGGUAGAGGGUAGUGGAAUUUCCUGUGUAGCGGUGAAAUGCGUAGAUAUAGGAAGGAACACCAGUGGCGAAGGCGACUACCUGGACUGAUACUGACACUGAGGUGCGAAAGCGUGGGGAGCAAACAGGAUUAGAUACCCCUGUAGUCCCUGUCUCUUAUAC
RNAcentral lists this ribosomal RNA (301 nucleotides) under uncultured bacterium. RNAcentral describes it as "partial 16S ribosomal RNA". It matches the Rfam family "Bacterial small subunit ribosomal RNA", at positions 509 to 807 of the family's 1533-position model. The record is from RNAcentral.